UACGGAAGGCAGCAGUGGGGAAUAUUGGACAAUGGGCGCAAGCCUGAUCCAGCCAUGCCGCGUGUGUGAAGAAGGCCUUCGGGUUGUAAAGCACUUUUGUCCGGAAAGAAAAGCUUAGGGUUAAUAACCUUGAGUCAUGACGGUACCGGAAGAAUAAGCACCGGCUAACUUCGUGCCAGCAGCCGCGGUAAUACGAAGGGUGCAAGCGUUACUCGGAAUUACUGGGCGUAAAGCGUGCGUAGGUGGUUUGUUAAGUCUGAUGUGAAAGCCCUGGGCUCAACCUGGGAAUGGCAUUGGAAACUGGCUUACUAGAGUGCGGUAGAGGGGUGUGGAAUUCCCGGUGUAGCAGUGAAAUGCGUAGAUAUCGGGAGGAACAUCUGUGGCGAGGGCGACACCCUGGGACCAGCACUGACACUGAGGCACGAAAGCGUGGGGAGCAAAC
RNAcentral lists this ribosomal RNA (442 nucleotides) under uncultured bacterium. Its description in RNAcentral is "bacterial SSU rRNA". It matches the Rfam family "Bacterial small subunit ribosomal RNA", at positions 340 to 773 of the family's 1533-position model. The record is from RNAcentral.